GACUCCGGUGGCCUAGUGGUUAGAACGUCCGCCUCGGAAACGGGAGGUAGCGGUUUCGAUCCCCGACCAAAUCA
Molecule: non-coding RNA, 74 nt
Organism: Potamilus streckersoni
Lineage: Eukaryota; Metazoa; Mollusca; Bivalvia; Unionida; Unionidae
Source: the annotation of a GenBank genome assembly